RNAcentral lists this ribosomal RNA (557 nucleotides) under uncultured Novosphingobium sp. RNAcentral's name for it is "bacterial SSU rRNA". It matches the Rfam family "Bacterial small subunit ribosomal RNA", at positions 102 to 694 of the family's 1533-position model. The record is from RNAcentral. Lineage: Bacteria; Pseudomonadati; Pseudomonadota; Alphaproteobacteria; Sphingomonadales; Sphingomonadaceae.
ACGGGUGCGUAACGCGUGGGAAUCUGCCCUUGGGUUCGGAAUAACAGUUAGAAAUGACUGCUAAUACCGGAUGAUGUCUUCGGACCAAAGAUUUAUCGCCCAAGGAUGAGCCCGCGUAAGAUUAGCUAGUUGGUGGGGUAAUGGCCCACCAAGGCGACGAUCUUUAGCUGGUCUGAGAGGAUGACCAGCCACACUGGGACUGAGACACGGCCCAGACUCCUACGGGAGGCAGCAGUGGGGAAUAUUAGACAAUGGGCGAAAGCCUGAUCCAGCAAUGCCGCGUGAGUGAUGAAGGCCUUAGGGUUGUAAAGCUCUUUUACCAGGGAUGAUAAUGACAGUACCUGGAGAAUAAGCUCCGGCUAACUCCGUGCCAGCAGCCGCGGUAAUACGGAGGGUGCUAGCGUUGUUCGGAAUUACUGGGCGUAAAGCGUACGUAGGCGGUUAUUCAAGUCAGAGGUGAAAGCCCGGGGCUCAACCCCGGAACGGCCUUUGAAACUAGAUAGCUAGAGUCUUGGAGAGGUUAGUGGAAUUCCGAGUGUAGAGGUGAAAUUCGUAGA